UCUCAUCAAGAUAGCUGAAAGUGAAGGACUUCGGGUCAUGCAAGAGUGCAUAACUAAGGAACGAAGCAGGCAGUACGCGGUGUUGUACCUUCGCUACUCAGGGGAGUAGGCGGCAGGGUUGAUGGAGAAGACGGUACAAUCCCAGAAGCGACCAAACCUAUGAGAGAACUACUCCAAGUUGGGGUGAAAACUUCCUGCAUUCCAGAAGUUCAAUGGCAUUGAGAAGGUGAAUCACAGUAGCUAACUCAACGCAAGGAGUGCAAACACUUCAAGUGCUUCAGAAGUGUGAGCAAAGAGUAGGCGAAGGCUAGUAACCAGCUCGAUGCAUGAAGUACAACCUCGAGAAGGCGGGCGAAGUCAAGUAACCUUUGCCUUCUCAACUCUUAAGAGAAUGAGCGAAACUGAGUACCCCAAUUCUCUUAUCUAUCCAGUAGAGGAGCUCUGCACAAGUUCAAAGACCCUUCGAAGAUAAUGGAAGACAAUAGUUGUCAAAUCCUCACCAACGGUGAUCAGUGCUACUGAGAGUAGAUUGUCCGCUUCAUUUCCCAACGAAAUGCCAAUCGAAAGCGGAAGUGAUGCGAACCUACUUGGAUGUGACAACUAAGUGAAAGAAGAGCCAAUAAGCAAAUUUUGUGGAGGAAGGACCCA
Molecule: long non-coding RNA, 648 nt
Filed under: Musa acuminata (dwarf banana)
Lineage: Eukaryota; Viridiplantae; Streptophyta; Magnoliopsida; Zingiberales; Musaceae
Description: long non-coding RNA (MACU_LNC010152)
Source: RNAcentral